CCUACGGGAGGCAGCAGUGAGGAAUAUUGGUCAAUGGGCGCGAGCCUGAACCAGCCAAGUAGCGUGAAGGAUGACUGCUCUACGGGUUGUAAACUUCUUUUAUACAGGAAUAAAUUGAGGCACGUGUCCCUUUUUGUAUGUACCUUAUGAAUAAGGAUCGGCUAACUCCGUGCCAGCAGCCGCGGUAAUACGGAGGAUCCGAGCGUUAUCCGGAUUUAUUGGGUUUAAAGGGAGCGUAGUUGGGUUGUUAAGUUAGUGGUGAAAGUCUGGGGCUCAACCCGAAUAUUGCAACUGAUACUGGCGGGCUAGAGUAUAGUUGAGGUAGGCGGAAUGCGUGGUGUAGCGGUGAAAUGCAUAGAUAUCACAAAGAACUCCGAUUGCGAAGGCAGCCUACUAAACUGCGACUGACGUUGAGGCACGAAAGUGUGGGUAGCAAACAGGAUUAGAUACCCCUGUAGUC
This 460-nucleotide ribosomal RNA is filed under the name uncultured bacterium. RNAcentral describes it as "partial 16S ribosomal RNA". It matches the Rfam family "Bacterial small subunit ribosomal RNA", at positions 338 to 795 of the family's 1533-position model. The record is from RNAcentral.